GGCUUACACUUGAUCUCUGAACUUCAGGUAGGUCCUGUUGAAAAUUUACUGAACUGAUGCU
Non-coding RNA from Capsicum annuum, 61 nucleotides. The record is from Rfam. NCBI's taxonomy places the organism in Eukaryota, Viridiplantae, Streptophyta, Magnoliopsida, Solanales, Solanaceae.